CCCUUAGAUGUUCUGGGCAGCACGCGCGCUACAAUGGUCUUCGCAAACGGAUGCAUUCUCGAAGGAGAAUGCCAAUCUUGGAAUCUAUGCCUUGGUCGGGACAGUUGCUUGCAAUUUUUCGACUCGAACCAGGAAUUCCUUGUAAUCGUGAUUCAUCACAUCACGAUGAAUACGUCCCUGCCCUUUGUACACACCGCCCGUCGCUCCUACCGAUUGAAUGUUCCGAUGAAUACCAUGGACUGAGAGUAUGAAUGGGUUCGCUUAUUUCUGCUUCUCGGGAAGUGGAGUAAAUCUUAACAUUUAGAGGAAGGAGAAGUCGUAACA
Molecule: ribosomal RNA, 324 nt
Filed under: uncultured eukaryote
Lineage: Eukaryota
Description: partial 18S ribosomal RNA
Rfam family: Eukaryotic small subunit ribosomal RNA
Source: RNAcentral